AUUGAACGCUGGCGGCAUGCUUUACACAUGCAAGUCGGACGAGUGGCGAACGGGUGAGUAACGCAUCGGAACGUACCGAGUAAUGGGGGAUACCUGUCCGAACGGCCAGCUAAUACCGCAUAUUAUUCGAGCGGCCGAUGUCUGUUUAGCUGGUUGGCGGGGUAAAGGCACACCAAGGCGACGAUCAGUAGCGGGUCGGAGAGGAUGAUCCGCCACACGGGGACUGAGACACGGCCCAGACUCCUACGGGAGGCAUCAGUGGGGAAUAUUGGACAAUGGGCGCAAGUCUGAUCCAGCCAGGCCGCGUGUCUGAAGAAGGCCUUCGGGUUGUAAAGGACUUUUGGUAGGGAAGCGGUACCUGAAGAAUAAGCACCGGCUAACUACGUGCCAGCAGCCGCGGUAAUAC
RNAcentral lists this ribosomal RNA (406 nucleotides) under uncultured bacterium. RNAcentral's name for it is "partial 16S ribosomal RNA". It matches the Rfam family "Bacterial small subunit ribosomal RNA", at positions 30 to 526 of the family's 1533-position model. The record is from RNAcentral.